UACGUAGGGUGCGAGCGUUAAUCGGAAUUACUGGGCGUAAAGCGUGCGCAGGCGGUUUUGUAAGCCCGAUGUGAAAUCCCUCGGCUCAACCGGGGAACUGCGUCUGAGACUGGAAGGCUUGAAUUCGGGAGAGGGAUGUGGAAUUCCAGGUGUAGCGGUGAAAUGCGUAGAUAUCUGGAGGAACACCGGUGGCGAAGGCGGCAUCCUGGACCGAUAUUGACGCUGAUGCGCGAAAGCCAGGGGAGCAAACGGG
This 253-nucleotide ribosomal RNA is filed under the name uncultured bacterium. Its description in RNAcentral is "partial 16S ribosomal RNA". It matches the Rfam family "Bacterial small subunit ribosomal RNA", at positions 524 to 776 of the family's 1533-position model. The record is from RNAcentral.